AGUCCCCCGGGGGCGGGCGCACCUGCCGCCGCUGGCGGGAAAUCGAAACUCAAGCUGUUGAAACCGCUGCCCCUGCCCUUUCGAAUCUCAUCUCGAGACUCCCGAGGCGCCCCAGCCCGCGUCCCCGCCGCAGCGGCGGCCGGGCACCCGCGGACUCAGAGCUAUGUUCACCCGCACUCGGGUGGUGGGCUCCGGGCUCGGCGCCCCCCCCGCCCCCCGCCCGGCCCGGGAGCCCCCCGGGCGGCCUCGGGAGCCGGGCCAGCUGCAAGGUCCCAGACCGGGUUCGCAGGCGACCCCCCAGAGCCCUUCGCAGGAGAGCCCACGGCUCGCCGGCCAGCGGUGCACAGGCGCAUAUACCUUGAUAACACCAAAUGAAAACCGAAGAAAUCAGAUACAAAGGAUUGCUGAGAAAGAGCUGGAAAAUCUUGAGAAGUGGAGAGAACAACAGCGAGCAAAGCCCGUUACCCUGGCCCCAAGGCGCUUAGGUGGAAGCCAAUCGGAAGCCGAAGUCAGGCAGAAACAACAACUCCAACUGAUGCAAUCGAAAUACCAACAAAAGCUAAAACGAGAAGAAUCUGUAAGAAUCAAGAAGCAAGUGGAAGAGGCCAGAAUACAACAGAUGAAGGCAGUUCAGAGACAGAAGAGCAAUAAACUAGAGGAGAAAAAAAGACUUCAAGAAAACCUCAGAAGAGAAGCAUUUAGAGAGCACCAGCAGUACAAAACUGCGGAGUUCCUGAGCAGACUGGACACAGAGUCGCCAGAUAGAAGUACCUGUCAAAAGGCUCUUCAUGACUCACAGUCUUCAACUUGGAAACUUCCUGUCCUGCCUGGGAAUCCUACCUCGGCCAGAAGCUGGGCUUACAAGGAUUCUCUAAAGGAAGAAGAAAAUAAGAAAUUGCAAAAGAUGAAGGAGGAACAACGUCAGAAGAGUGAAUUACUGGAAUUUAACCGGCAGCAACAGGAGGAAGAGAGAACCAGAACCCACCAGGCUGAACACAAGAGGUCUUGCUGAAGCUUCCGCCUUCCUUCAGCCUCCGGAGCUCACACCUGGCAUGGCCCGCGAGGAGACAGUUGCUCGGGAACAAAGCUCUUGUUGAACUGGUAGAAGAUGAGGGAAUGAAGCUCUGAAGUUCAGAACUGUUCCCCCUCUGCCCACAUCUGGCACCAGCUCCAGCCGAUGGCUAUUAACAGCCUGUCAUAUUGUCAUACGGUUAAUGGUAAAUAAUGCUUUCCUGGACCGACUCCAAGGCAAAAGUCAACCAGGUGGCUUCGAGCACUUUGGAGGCCAUUGGAAUAUGAAUAGUGGUAACAGCUGGGAUGUAUGAGAAAUAUUUACUUACAUCUGUCCUUUGUCAACGGACCUUGAAGAACAUCACUCAAUGCUUUUCCUUCAUGCUGCUUUGUUUAUCCUUACUGUUUUCACCUUGACUUCGACUGCCCACUCACUCAGCUGAACACGUGGGAAUGACCCGUUUUCCCCUGUCAUUAUUUACACAUGCUUGCAGGAGCUGAUUGCUGAGCUCAUAGUUAAUUUCUACUUCCAGUGAAAUGUUGCACUGUUUUUCUCAUUAGUUUCACAUCUUAUUGGAAGUAUAAUUACAGCCAUGUUAGUAAGAUGAAAAAGGAGGGAUCAUUUGCUGCUUUCAGGUGUAUAAGAGCUAUACGGGUGCUACAGGCUUAUCUCUCUGAGUAGCUAACUCUUAUGUAAUUCUCAGAUCAGGUUUGGGGAAUCUUGGGCAUUUUUUUUGGAUUUUAAGCUCUACUUAAUCCAGGGUACAAACUUGAGAAAAAGAUAAAAAAUAAAAUCUUUUAUAUUCUUUUGAACACACUUUUAAAUAAAUUUUGAAAUACUUCUGUGUAAA
Felis catus (domestic cat) is the source of this 1862-nucleotide RNA transcript. It is a transcript of the gene named epithelial stromal interaction 1, with no coding region annotated. The transcript has 13 exons. The record is from RefSeq and is a predicted model, not a curated record. Lineage: Eukaryota; Metazoa; Chordata; Mammalia; Carnivora; Felidae.